RNAcentral lists this ribosomal RNA (2769 nucleotides) under metagenome. Its description in RNAcentral is "bacterial LSU rRNA". It matches the Rfam family "Bacterial large subunit ribosomal RNA". The record is from RNAcentral.
AGCGUACACGGUGGAUGCCCUGGCAGUCAGAGGCGAUGAAGGACGUGCUAAUCUGCGAAAAGCGUCGGUAAGGUGAUAUGAACCGUUAUAACCGGCGAUGUCCGAAUGGGGAAACCCAGUGCAAUUCGUUGCACUAUCGUUAACUGAAUACAUAGGUUAACGAGGCGAACCGGGGGAACUGAAACAUCUAAGUACCCCGAGGAAAAGAAAUCAACCGAGAUUCCCCCAGUAGCGGCGAGCGAACGGGGAGCAGCCCAGAGUCUGAAUCAGCUUGUGUGUUAGUGGAACGGUCUGGAAAGUCCGACGGUACAGGGUGAUAGUCCCGUACACCAAAAUGCACAGGCUGUGAACUCGAAGAGUAGGGCGGGACACGUGGUAUCCUGUCUGAAUAUGGGGGGACCAUCCUCCAAGGCUAAAUACUCCUGACUGACCGAUAGUGAACCAGUACCGUGAGGGAAAGGCGAAAAGAACCCCGGCGAGGGGAGUGAAAAAGAACCUGAAACCGUGUACGUACAAGCAGUGGGAGCACCUUCGGGUGUGACUGCGUACCUUUUGUAUAAUGGGUCAGCGACUUAUAUUCUGUAGCAAGGUUAACCGUAUAGGGGAGCCGCAGGGAAACCGAGUCUUAACUGGGCGUUAAGUUGCAGGGUAUAGACCCGAAACCCGGUGAUCUAGCCAUGGGCAGGUUGAAGGUUGGGUAACACUAACUGGAGGACCGAACCGACUAAUGUUGAAAAAUUAGCGGAUGACUUGUGGCUGGGGGUGAAAGGCCAAUCAAACCGGGAGAUAGCUGGUUCUCCCCGAAAGCUAUUUAGGUAGCGCCUCGUGAAUUCAUCUUCGGGGGUAGAGCACUGUUUCGGCUAGGGGGUCAUCCCGACUUACCAACCCGAUGCAAACUACGAAUACCGAAGAAUGUUAUCACGGGAGACACACGGCGGGUGCUAACGUCCGUCGUGAAGAGGGAAACAACCCAGACCGCCAGCUAAGGUCCCAAAGUCAUGGUUAAGUGGGAAACGAUGUGGGAAGGCACAGACAGCCAGGAUGUUGGCUUAGAAGCAGCCAUCAUUUAAAGAAAGCGUAAUAGCUCACUGGUCGAGUCGGCCUGCGCGGAAGAUGUAACGGGGCUAAACCAUGCACCGAAGCUGCGGCAGCGACACUAUGUGUUGUUGGGUAGGGGAGCGUUCUGUAAGCCUGCGAAGGUGUGCUGUGAGGCAUGCUGGAGGUAUCAGAAGUGCGAAUGCUGACAUAAGUAACGAUAAAGCGGGUGAAAAGCCCGCUCGCCGGAAGACCAAGGGUUCCUGUCCAACGUUAAUCGGGGCAGGGUGAGUCGACCCCUAAGGCGAGGCCGAAAGGCGUAGUCGAUGGGAAACAGGUUAAUAUUCCUGUACUUGGUGUUACUGCGAAGGGGGGACGGAGAAGGCUAUGUUAGCCGGGCGACGGUUGUCCCGGUUUAAGCAUGUAGGCUGGUUGUCCAGGCAAAUCCGGAUAAUCAAGGCUGAGGUGUGAUGACGAGGCACUACGGUGCUGAAGUAACAAAUGCCCUGCUUCCAGGAAAAGCCUCUAAGCAUCAGGUAACAUCAAAUCGUACCCCAAACCGACACAGGUGGUCAGGUAGAGAAUACCAAGGCGCUUGAGAGAACUCGGGUGAAGGAACUAGGCAAAAUAGCACCGUAACUUCGGGAGAAGGUGCGCCGGCGUAGAUUGUAGUCCCUUGCGGGCGAAGGUUGAACCGGUCGAAGAUACCAGCUGGCUGCAACUGUUUAUUAAAAACACAGCACUCUGCAAACACGAAAGUGGACGUAUAGGGUGUGAUGCCUGCCCGGUGCUGGAAGGUUAAUUGAUGGUGUAAUCGAAAGAGAAGCUCCUGAUCGAAGCCCCAGUAAACGGCGGCCGUAACUAUAACGGUCCUAAGGUAGCGAAAUUCCUUGUCGGGUAAGUUCCGACCUGCACGAAUGGCGUAAUGAUGGCCAGGCUGUCUCCACCCGAGACUCAGUGAAAUUGAAAUCGCCGUGAAGAUGCGGUGUACCCGCGGCUAGACGGAAAGACCCCGUGAACCUUUACUAUAGCUUGACACUGAACAUUGAAUUUUGAUGUGUAGGAUAGGUGGGAGACUUAGAAGUAGUCACGCCAGUGAUUAUGGAGUCGACCUUGAAAUACCACCCUUUAACGUUUGAUGUUCUAACGAAGAUUACGAAACGUGGUCUCGGACAGUGUCUGGUGGGUAGUUUGACUGGGGCGGUCUCCUCCCAAAGAGUAACGGAGGAGCACGAAGGUUAGCUAAUCCUGGUCGGACAUCAGGAGGUUAGUGCAAUGGCAUAAGCUAGCUUGACUGCGAGCGUGACGGCGCGAGCAGGUGCGAAAGCAGGUCAUAGUGAUCCGGUGGUUCUGAAUGGAAGGGCCAUCGCUCAACGGAUAAAAGGUACUCCGGGGAUAACAGGCUGAUACCGCCCAAGAGUUCAUAUCGACGGCGGUGUUUGGCACCUCGAUGUCGGCUCAUCACAUCCUGGGGCUGAAGUAGGUCCCAAGGGUAUGGCUGUUCGCCAUUUAAAGUGGUACGCGAGCUGGGUUUAGAACGUCGUGAGACAGUUCGGUCCCUAUCUGCCGUGGGCGCUGGAGAAUUGAGGGGGGCUGCUCCUAGUACGAGAGGACCGGAGUGGACGCAUCACUGGUGUUCGGGUUGUCAUGCCAAUGGCACUGCCCGGUAGCUAAAUGCGGAAGAGAUAAGUGCUGAAAGCAUCUAAGCACGAAACUUGCCCCGAGAUGAGUUCU